AACCUCGAGUGCCAGGUUACAAAUCUGGCUGUCGGGAUGCCUAAAAAGCAUUUCAUAGCAAGGGCCGGGCAAGACCGGUGCCAGCCGCCGCGGUAACACCGGCGGCUCGAGUGGUAACCGUUAUUAUUGGGUCUAAAGGGUCUGUAGCCGGCCGGAUAAGUCUCUUGAGAAAUCUGGCAGCUUAACUGUCAGGCUUUCAGGAGAUACUGUCUGGCUCGAGGCCGGGAGAGGUGAGAGGUACUUCAGGGGUAGGGGUGAAAUCUUGUAAUCCUUGAAGGACCACCAGUGGCGAAGGCGUCUCACCAGAACGGACCUGACGGCAAGGGACGAAAGCUAGGGGCACGAACCGGAUUAGAUACCCGGGUAGUCCUAGCCGUAAACGAUACUCGCUAGGUGUCGGCCACGGUGCGACCGUUGUCGGUGCCGUAGGGAAGCCGUGAAGCGA
RNAcentral lists this ribosomal RNA (445 nucleotides) under uncultured archaeon. RNAcentral describes it as "bacterial SSU rRNA". It matches the Rfam family "Archaeal small subunit ribosomal RNA", at positions 377 to 822 of the family's 1478-position model. The record is from RNAcentral.